Molecule: long non-coding RNA, 352 nt
Organism: Rosa rugosa (rugosa rose)
Lineage: Eukaryota; Viridiplantae; Streptophyta; Magnoliopsida; Rosales; Rosaceae
Exons: 2
Source: RefSeq, a predicted model, not a curated record
AAAGGGCCCGAGCAUGUGCACUUGGAUUUGGAUAAAGGAUCGAAAGUCGGGAACGAACCCGAAUGUGGGCAAGCACUCCAAUUCCAGUGUGCAGGUUUCGAGCAUGUGGUCGGGAAGCGUACAGGGGAGGCACAUGGCACGGCUUGGCGCAUUUCUCUUUAGUUUUAUCAAAAGAAGGUUUUGGUCCUUAAUCGGAUUUUGUAGUAGCUUGUUUAUUUACUUUUUAUUUAUUUCCUACUCGUUUACAAAAAUUCCGGGAGGCCCGUAACCCUGGGGCGCGUCUCCCAUACUUGUCGUUACUUAGAGAUGUGUUUUAUUUUCCAAAUUGGGCUCCGAUUGCAAGCCCAAAACC